GACGAACGCUGGCGGCGUGCCUAACACAUGCAAGUCGAACGGAACUGUUUUGAAAGAUUUCUUCGGAAUGAAUUUGAUUUAGUUUAGUGGCGGACGGGUGAGUAACGUGUGAGUAACCUGCCUUCAAGAGGGGAAUAACAUUCUGAAAAGAAUGCUAAUACCGCAUGACAUAUCGGAACCACAUGGUUUUGAUAUCAAAGAUUUUAUCGCUUGAAGAUGGACUCGCGUCCGAUUAGUUAGUUGGUGAGGUAACGGCUCACCAAGACCGCGAUCGGUAGCCGGACUGAGAGGUUGAACGGCCACAUUGGGACUGAGACACGGCCCAGACUCCUACGGGAGGCAGCAGUGGGGGAUAUUGCGCAAUGGGGGCAACCCUGACGCAGCAACGCCGCGUGAAGGAUGAAGGUUUUCGGAUUGUAAACUUCUUUUAUUAAGGACGAAAAAUGACGGUACUUAAUGAAUAAGCUCCGGCUAACUACGUG
RNAcentral lists this ribosomal RNA (482 nucleotides) under uncultured bacterium. RNAcentral's name for it is "partial 16S ribosomal RNA". It matches the Rfam family "Bacterial small subunit ribosomal RNA", at positions 28 to 507 of the family's 1533-position model. The record is from RNAcentral.